Molecule: small nuclear RNA, 167 nt
Organism: Carcharodon carcharias (great white shark)
Lineage: Eukaryota; Metazoa; Chordata; Chondrichthyes; Lamniformes; Lamnidae
Product: U1 spliceosomal RNA
Exons: 1
Source: RefSeq, a predicted model, not a curated record
AUAUUUUGUGGGGAAAAAUGAUUGUUCUCCCCAGGCAAAAAAAAAGUUCUCCCAGGACAAGGCUAGCUCUUUGCACUUUGGGUGUGCUGACAUCUGCUAUGGCCCCAAAUGCAGGAUACUCGACUGUAAAAAUUGUGAUAGUGGGGACUGCGUUCGCGCUCUCCCCU